This 254-nucleotide ribosomal RNA is filed under the name uncultured bacterium. RNAcentral's name for it is "partial 16S ribosomal RNA". It matches the Rfam family "Bacterial small subunit ribosomal RNA", at positions 524 to 776 of the family's 1533-position model. The record is from RNAcentral.
UACAGAGGGUGCGAGCGUUGUUCGGAAUUAUUGGGCGUAAAGGGCGCGUAGGCGGCGCGGUAUGUCACCUGUGAAAUCUCCUGGCUCAACUGGGAGCCUGCAGGCGAAACUGCCGUGCUGGAGUGUGGGAGAGGUGCGUGGAAUUCCUGGUGUAGCGGUGAAAUGCGUAGAUAUCAGGAGGAACACCUGUGGCGAAAAGCGGCGCACUGGACCACAACUGACGCUGAGGCGCGAAAGCUAGGGGAGCAAACAGG